AGGAUUUUAGUUAAAUUUAUAACAAUUAUAUUGCAUAUAAUUAUUAAAGUUUUAUACUUUAAAUCUUA
RNAcentral lists this transfer RNA (68 nucleotides) under Anterhynchium (Dirhynchium) sp. QHZ-2020. Its description in RNAcentral is "tRNA-Ala". The record is from RNAcentral. Lineage: Eukaryota; Metazoa; Arthropoda; Insecta; Hymenoptera; Vespidae.